CCUACGGGAGGCAGCAGUGAGGAAUAUUGGUCAAUGGACGAGAGUCUGAACCAGCCAAGUAGCGUGAAGGAUGACUGCCCUAUGGGUUGUAAACUUCUUUUAUAUGGGAAUAAAAUGUUCCACGUGUGGGAUUUUGUAUGUACCAUAUGAAUAAGGAUCGGCUAACUCCGUGCCAGCAGCCGCGGUAAUACGGAGGAUCCGAGCGUUAUCCGGAUUUAUUGGGUGUAAAGGGAGCGUAGGUGGAUUGUUAAGUCAGUUGUGAAAGUUUGCGGCUCAACCGUAAAAUUGCAGUUGAAACUGGCAGUCGUGAGUACAGUAGAGGUGGGCGGAAUUCGUGGUGUAGCGGUGAAAUGCUUAGAUAUCACGAAGAACUCCGAUUGCGAAGGCAGCUCACUGGACUGCAACUGACACUGAGGCUCGAAAGUGUGGGUAUCAAACAGGAUGAGAUACCCUUGUAGUC
This 460-nucleotide ribosomal RNA is filed under the name uncultured bacterium. RNAcentral's name for it is "partial 16S ribosomal RNA". It matches the Rfam family "Bacterial small subunit ribosomal RNA", at positions 338 to 795 of the family's 1533-position model. The record is from RNAcentral.